CCAAGGAUGUUUUCAUUAAUCAAGAACGAAAGUUAGGGGAUCGAAGACGAUCAGAUACCGUCGUAGUCUUAACCAUAAACGAUGCCGACCAGCGAUUAGGAGACGUUGAAUACAAAACACCACCAUCGGCGCGGUCGUCCUUGGCGUCUCGGUCCUUCACGGGGCCGGGGCGCGGGGGCGGCUUAGCCCGGUGGCACCGGUGAAU
Molecule: ribosomal RNA, 205 nt
Filed under: Acanthamoeba sp. EB26
Lineage: Eukaryota; Discosea; Longamoebia; Acanthamoebidae
Description: partial 18S ribosomal RNA
Rfam family: Eukaryotic small subunit ribosomal RNA (bases 1-156)
Source: RNAcentral